AUACCUUUCUCGGCCUUUUGGCUAAGAUCAAGUGUAGUAUCUGUUCUUAUCAGUUUAAUAUCUGAUACGUGGGCAUAGGUCCACACGAUAUUAAAUUAUUUUUUAAAGGGGAAGAUUCACCACAGUGGCUUGCUUACUGGAAUCUUCAUGCGUCGCCAAUGCGUUACACUACUGCAAUGGCCUGGCGUGUCCUCC
RNAcentral lists this small nuclear RNA (195 nucleotides) under Salix viminalis (osier). It matches the Rfam family "U2 spliceosomal RNA". From Rfam's summary of the family: U2 is a small nuclear RNA (snRNA) component of the spliceosome (involved in pre-mRNA splicing). The record is from RNAcentral. Lineage: Eukaryota; Viridiplantae; Streptophyta; Magnoliopsida; Malpighiales; Salicaceae.